Molecule: long non-coding RNA, 281 nt
Filed under: Elaeis guineensis (African oil palm)
Lineage: Eukaryota; Viridiplantae; Streptophyta; Magnoliopsida; Arecales; Arecaceae
Description: long non-coding RNA (EGUI_LNC002814)
Source: RNAcentral
AUGUAGACUUGUAGGCUCGGCUAUAGGCUAGUCCGAUCUGACCUCGAAGACAUUUUAUGGAUGUUUUCAAUCGAGUCUUGUAUCUUGAUCCAACAUUAGGCUGCAUUUGGUAUAGAUCAAGCAUGCCAAGCUAUUCUUCUUACUUGACAUGAUCCAACCCUAGCCUGACCCAGCUGCAUCUUACUUGACAUAGUCCUAAUACGAACAAAAAAAGCCCAUCCUUGUGGGACUUGGGCGAACCAGUCCUUGGCCACAUAUUGACACAAUAGACUCUGAAAACU